Molecule: ribosomal RNA, 463 nt
Filed under: uncultured Lactobacillus sp.
Lineage: Bacteria; Bacillati; Bacillota; Bacilli; Lactobacillales; Lactobacillaceae
Description: bacterial SSU rRNA
Rfam family: Bacterial small subunit ribosomal RNA
Source: RNAcentral
CUUACACCGAAUGCUUGCAUUCACCGUAAGAAGUUGAGUGGCGGACGGGUGAGUAACACGUGGGUAACCUGCCUAAAAGAAGGGGAUAACACUUGGAAACAGGUGCUAAUACCGUAUAUCUCUAAGGAUCGCAUGAUCCUUAGAUGAAAGAUGGUUCUGCUAUCGCUUUUAGAUGGACCCGCGGCGUAUUAACUAGUUGGUGGGGUAACGGCCUACCAAGGUGAUGAUACGUAGCCGAACUGAGAGGUUGAUCGGCCACAUUGGGACUGAGACACGGCCCAAACUCCUACGGGAGGCAGCAGUAGGGAAUCUUCCACAAUGGACGUAAGUCUGAUGGAGCAACGCCGCGUGAGUGAAGAAGGUCUUCGGAUCGUAAAACUCUGUUGUUAGAGAAGAACACGAGUGAGAGUAACUGUUCAUUCGAUGACGGUAUCUAACCAGCAAGUCACGGCUAACUACGUGC